RNAcentral lists this ribosomal RNA (230 nucleotides) under uncultured bacterium. RNAcentral's name for it is "partial 16S ribosomal RNA". It matches the Rfam family "Bacterial small subunit ribosomal RNA", at positions 118 to 348 of the family's 1533-position model. The record is from RNAcentral.
UGAGCAACCUGCCCUUGACUCCGGAAUAACAGCUGGAAACAGCUGCUAAUACCGGAUACGACCUCCGAUGGCAUCAUCUGGAGGUGGAAAGCUCCGGCGGUCAAGGAUGGGCUCGCGGCCUAUCAGCUUGUUGGUGAGGUAACGGCUCACCAAGGCUUCGACGGGUAGCCGGCCUGAGAGGGCGACCGGCCACACUGGGACUGAGACACGGCCCAGACUCCGUAGGGAGG